This 458-nucleotide ribosomal RNA is filed under the name Streptococcus mutans. RNAcentral's name for it is "bacterial SSU rRNA". It matches the Rfam family "Bacterial small subunit ribosomal RNA", at positions 28 to 464 of the family's 1533-position model. Lineage: Bacteria; Bacillati; Bacillota; Bacilli; Lactobacillales; Streptococcaceae. The record is from RNAcentral.
GACGAACGCUGGCGGCGUGCCUAAUACAUGCAAGUGGGACGCAAGGGAACACACUGUGCUUGCACACCGUGUUUUCUUGAGUCGCGAACGGGUGAGUAACGCGUAGGUAACCUGCCUAUUAGCGGGGGAUAACUAUUGGAAACGAUAGCUAAUACCGCAUAAUAUUAAUUAUUGCAUGAUAAUUGAUUGAAAGAUGCAAGCGCAUCACUAGUAGAUGGACCUGCGUUGUAUUAGCUAGUUGGUAAGGUAAGAGCUUACCAAGGCGACGAUACAUAGCCGACCUGAGAGGGUGAUCGGCCACACUGGGACUGAGACACGGCCCAGACUCCUACGGGAGGCAGCAGUAGGGAAUCUUCGGCAAUGGACGAAAGUCUGACCGAGCAACGCCGCGUGAGUGAAGAAGGUUUUCGGAUCGUAAAGCUCUGUUGUAAGUCAAGAACGUGUGUGAGAGUGGAAAG